This is a long non-coding RNA of Rhagoletis zephyria (snowberry fruit fly), 1337 nucleotides long. RefSeq lists it as uncharacterized. NCBI's taxonomy places the organism in Eukaryota, Metazoa, Arthropoda, Insecta, Diptera, Tephritidae. The record is from RefSeq and is a predicted model, not a curated record.
GAUUCCGAGUAAAAUAAAAUACACCCGUCUUUUAAAAGUUAAUAUGUGUCUUUCUUUAAUCACGUUCAAUAGCAAGUAUCUUUCUAUUGUACAAAAACGACUGUCUGUGUCCGCGGUCCGUUGCAACUACAAAACUACUCUGUCUUCUUCUCGUCCGUUUCUCUUGUAUGUGUUGUGUGUUAUUCAGGGCUGUCAUGGAAUCCAAUUGUUGUCGGAAUUGGAUUUAAAAACGACAAAAAAAUUACUUUGGUGUCAUGAAAUCCAAUGUUAUCGGUUUUAUGUUCGAAUCGGAAUUAGUGUCGAUUUUAGGUGUCACAGAAACCAAUAAUAUCGAUUUUGCUAUCGGAAACAAACCAAGCAGCUAACGGCUGUUGGAUUUCAUUUGUUUAUUAGUUUUCCUUACUUCCAGUUGGAUAUUUUAUAAAAAUAGCCGGGAUAGAGUGCAUCGACGGCUCGAAUUUUCAUGUCACCAUCACACAUCUAAAUAAAAAUGUACAUGCAUAUAUAUAAAUCAAGGCAAUGUACGAGUAAAAUGAAGAUUCAUGAUUACUUACAAUCAGGGCAUUCAUACUGAAUUAUUUUCGAUUAUAAAAUAAAUGUUCGUCAAUACUGGGCUUAAUGAUUUUUAUGUGUGUCCCGUCGAUGCAACCAAUUAUUGAGGGAAUUUUGUACUUUAAGUAAAAAUAGUCUCUUGAUAUGCGCUUUUCGAUGCAGUCCAUUUCUAGUUUCACCCACUGAGGGCAAAUGAACCGCUCCAUAACCUUAAGCACAUCAUCUAAAAUCGUUGACACCGCGCUUCUAGCUACACUUAUGCUAGAAUCGUUCCCGACUGAUCUUUGACAGGAUCCUUCUGCUAAAAAUCGCAACGAAGCUGCUAACUGCAGCACUGGUGGAACUUUCGAACGUGUCAAGUGCCCUUCAAUGGUGUCAAGUACCUCUUUGUUUAGGCGAUAAUAUGCUAUGAAACUGCAAAUACGCUAUAAAUAUUUAUAAACGCAUAUUAAAAAACAAUCUACUUACGCUGUCUCGGGCAGCUCAAGUGGAUCGCCGCAAUCUCUCAAAAUUUUUCUUUUAACCUUCUCGGAACUUUCUUCUUCCAAGAACAGAAAUGCGAUAACUGCGGAUGUCAUUUUGCGUUCACUUACUUUUAUUUACUUUUAUUUAAAUUAAUGAAAACAAUUCAAUUUUAAAAAAUUGUGUCAAAAAAAUGUACAUUCAAAUUGCCGCCAUGCACACAAAUGAGCAAAACAGCUGAUUCGAACAUCGGUUUUGUUUAUGUUCGAAAAGAGCAAAACCAAUCCGGUUUCAUGACACCAAAUGAAACCAAUAUUGGUUUG